Molecule: ribosomal RNA, 463 nt
Filed under: uncultured bacterium
Lineage: Bacteria
Description: partial 16S ribosomal RNA
Rfam family: Bacterial small subunit ribosomal RNA
Source: RNAcentral
GACGAACGCUGGCGGCGUGCUUAACACAUGCAAGUCGAACGGAAAGGCCUUUUCGGCGGUACUCGAGUGGCAAACGGGUGAGUAACACGUGGGUGAUCUGCCCUGCACUCUGGGAUAAGCCUGGGAAACUGGGUCUAAUACCGGAUAGGACCGCACUUUAGUGUGUGUGGUGGAAAGUUUUUUCGGUGUAGGAUGAGCCCGCGGCCUAUCAGCUUGUUGGUGGGGUAAUGGCCUACCAAGGCGGCGACGGGUAGCCGGACUGAGAGGUUGGUCGGCCACAUUGGGACUGAGAUACGGCCCAGACUCCUACGGGAGGCAGCAGUGGGGAAUAUUGCACAAUGGGCGCAAGCCUGAUGCAGCGACGCCGCGUGGGGGAUGACGGCCUUCGGGUUGUAAACUCCUUUCGCCAGGGACGAAGCGUUUUGUGACGGUACCUGGAGAAGAAGCACCGGCUAACUACGUG